This 441-nucleotide ribosomal RNA is filed under the name uncultured bacterium. Its description in RNAcentral is "partial 16S ribosomal RNA". It matches the Rfam family "Bacterial small subunit ribosomal RNA", at positions 338 to 795 of the family's 1533-position model. The record is from RNAcentral.
CCUACGGGAGGCAGCAGUGGGGAAUAUUGCACAAUGGGGGAAACCCUGAUGCAGCGACGCCGCGUGAGUGAAGAAGUAUUUCGGUAUGUAAAGCCCUAUCAGCAGGGAAGAAGCAAGACGGUACCUGACUAAGAAGCGCCGGCUAACUACGUGACAGCAGCCGCGGUAAUACGGAGGGGUCAAGCGUUAUCCGGAUUUACUGGGGGUAAAGGGAGCGUAGACGGUAUGGCAAGUCUGAAGUGAAAGCCCAGGGCCUAACCCUGGGACUGCUUUGGAAACUGGUAGACUAGAGGGCUGGAGAGGUAAGUGGAAUUCCUGGUGUAGCGGUGAAAUGCGUAGAUAUUAGGAGGAACACCAGUGGCGAAGGCAGCUUACUGGACAGUAACUGACGUUGAGGCUCGAAAGCGUGGGGAGCAAACAGGAUUAGAUACCCCAGUAGUC